Molecule: unclassified non-coding RNA, 478 nt
Filed under: Hevea brasiliensis (rubber tree)
Lineage: Eukaryota; Viridiplantae; Streptophyta; Magnoliopsida; Malpighiales; Euphorbiaceae
Source: RNAcentral
GAAGAAUGUCACUUCAUUAGUUGUUCUGAAAAGUGACCCUAAAGUUAUAUUAUCCACCAGCUACGAUGGGCUGAUUAUUAAAUGGAUUCAAGGUAUUGGAUACAGUGGCAAGUUGCAAAGAAGAGAAAAUUCUCAAAUCAAAUGUUUUGCAGCUCUUGAAGAUGAACUUGUUACGUCUGGUUUUGACAAUAAGGUCUGGAGAGUUUCUAUCAAGGAUGGACAGUGUGGGGAGGCAGAGGCUAUUGAUGUUGGAAGUCAACCAAAGGACUUGACCCUCGCUUCUCUUUCUCCGGAACUUGCUUUGGUUGCAGUUGAUUCUGGAGUUGUCUUACUGCGUGGUUCAAACGUAGUGUCAACCAUCAACCUUGGCUUUACUGUGACAGCAUCUGUACUUGCGCCUGAUGGAAGUGAGGCUAUAAUAGGUGGUCAAGAUGGUAAAUUACAUAUUUAUUCCAUUGAUGGCGACUUGCUCACUGAA